Non-coding RNA from Gasterosteus aculeatus aculeatus (three-spined stickleback), 887 nucleotides. The record is from RefSeq and is a predicted model, not a curated record. NCBI's taxonomy places the organism in Eukaryota, Metazoa, Chordata, Actinopteri, Perciformes, Gasterosteidae.
GUUUGUAGAGCUGUCGGUGCUGCGUCGUUCAGAGGUUUUCUUUGGACCCCGCUGCACCGGUCGCACGGGGGACAUUCAAGAUGGCAACACCAAAGAGCAGUGUGAGACCUCUUUGACACAGAUCCGAUGCUACAGGAAGUACCAGCCACAGAAGACAUGGCGGCCUCUAGUGGUAAGAGCGACAAAGUGCAGAAAUGGCCUGAAGCAUCGGAGUUUAUACCUGAUAUGAACUUUCUCUAUCCUUAAUUUACCUAGAAAUAUAAUAUUUGACCCCACAUGAGAUCACAAAGAAGCAGUCCUUAAUCAGUUCAUAAAUCGGUGAGAGAUAUCUGACGAAUCUCGGAUCAUGUUUAGUUUUACUGCACUUGCACUUAGCCCCACUUUAUGGGAUGUGUAUUUAUAGCUAUGCUUUGCAUCUAUAGUAAUAAAAGUUGAUUCAACACUGAAUUUUAGUGGAUGUGUGUAGCUGCCAGUCACAAUUGUGUAGACACAAAUUAAGAGAGUCACAGAAAAUGUAAAAACUUGAUUUUUUCUUUUUUACUUCCUGGAGAAUGCUGAAAUUCUGAUUGCUUUUACAAAAUAUUACAUUUUGUAGUUCAGCCGCACAUCUUGCAGUAACUAGGAAAGAUAGAAUAUAGUAAUCUUUUAGUAAAAACAUUUUUGAGAUUAUGAGAGCAUAUAAAACAACAAAAAUUAAGGAAAAAUGCUGCUAAAAAUGUAUUCAUUCCUAUCUGAAACGUUACAGAAGUGAAAACAAAAAUAAAAAGAGCCAGUUAUGGGGGGUGAAACAAUAACAGCAAAUUCACAAAGAAAGGCUGAGGCGGACAAGAAAAGCAGUCAAAAAACAAACUUACGUCAUACAUGCACAUCGUGACACAAAAAAUAAA